GUAACAGCCGGGAAGCCGGAACCGCUGCCCUCCGAAGGCAGAGGCCACAGGUUCGAAUCCUGUCGGGUGCA
Molecule: transfer RNA, 71 nt
Filed under: Novosphingobium sp. PhB57
Lineage: Bacteria; Pseudomonadati; Pseudomonadota; Alphaproteobacteria; Sphingomonadales; Sphingomonadaceae
Description: tRNA-Arg
Rfam family: tRNA
About the family: Transfer RNA (tRNA) molecules are approximately 80 nucleotides in length.
Source: RNAcentral